Molecule: ribosomal RNA, 304 nt
Filed under: uncultured bacterium
Lineage: Bacteria
Description: partial 16S ribosomal RNA
Rfam family: Bacterial small subunit ribosomal RNA
Source: RNAcentral
CAGCAGCAGCCGCGGUAAGACAGAGGAUGCAAGCGUUAUCCGGAAUUAUUGGGCGUAAAGGGCUCGCAGGCGGUUUCUUAAGUCUGAUGUGAAAGCCCCCGGCUCAACCGGGGAGGGUCACUGGAAACUGGGAAACUUGAGUGCAGAAGAGGAGAGUGGAAUUCCACGUGUAGCGGUGAAAUGCGUAGAGAUGUGGAGGAACACCAGUGGCGAAGGCGACUCUCUGGUCUGUGACUGACGCUGAGGAGCGAAAGCGUGGGGAGCGAACAGGAUUAGAUACCCCAGUAGUCCCUGUCUCUUAUAC